GAACUGCAAAAUAACUGUUAGCUGUGUCGUCCAAGAUCAAAAACAUUCUGGAUAAACCUCUUUCAAGUAAAUUUAAUCAGAAGAAAACAAAAAAACAAAACAAAAUAAAUUUCAUGAAAAGUAAACUGGUUUGUAACGAAUUCUUAUACCCAUGAAGUGUUUCACCCUGGUUUUGUUUGAUAGGUUUUGUGCAGCCAAUAGAUUGAACUGAAUUCAACCUUGCUAGCUCAUUGGCAUGCCAUAUUUUGCGGUGUCUUAAUUCAAAUGCACACCAUGUGUCCACACACCAAUAUCCAACACCAC
This 303-nucleotide long non-coding RNA is filed under the name Vigna radiata. Its description in RNAcentral is "long non-coding RNA (VRAD_LNC009230)". Lineage: Eukaryota; Viridiplantae; Streptophyta; Magnoliopsida; Fabales; Fabaceae. The record is from RNAcentral.